UACGGAGGGUGCGAGCGUUGUCCGGAAUCAUUGGGCGUAAAGAGCGUGUAGGCGGCUAUUUAAGUCCUGCGUGAAAUCCUGCGGCUCAACCGCAGACGGUCGUGGGAAACUGGAUGGCUAGAGUGCGGGAGAGGAGAGUGGAAUUCCCGGUGUAGCGGUGAAAUGUGCAGAUAUCGGGAAGAACACCCGUGGCGAAGGCGGCUCUCUGGAACGCAACUGACGCUGAGACGCGAAAGCGUGGGGAGCAAACAGG
Molecule: ribosomal RNA, 253 nt
Filed under: uncultured bacterium
Lineage: Bacteria
Description: partial 16S ribosomal RNA
Rfam family: Bacterial small subunit ribosomal RNA
Source: RNAcentral